GAGUGGCGAACGGGCGAGUAACGCGUGAGCAACCUACCUCGUACUGGGGGAUAACGUCGGGAAACCGGCGCUAAUACCGCAUAAGACUACGAUGUCGCAUGGCGUUGUAGUCAAAGCUCCGGCGGUACGAGACCGGGCUCGCGUCCGAUUAGCUAGUUGGUACGGGUAACGGCCUACCACCGCGAACGAUCCGGUAGGCCGGACUGAGAGGGUCGGGCCCGGCCCGCAAUUUGGGACUGAGACACGGCCCAGACUCCUACGGGAGGCAGCAGUGGGGAGAUAUUGCGGCAAUGUGGGGAAACCCCUGAACGGCAGGCGACGCCGGCGUGAAGGAAGAAGGCCCUUCGGGUUGUUAAACUUCUUUGGGCAGGGGACGAAAGAAAGACGGUACCCUGAGAACAAGCCACGGCUAACUACGUGCCAGCAGCCGCGGUUAUACGUAGGUGGCGAGCGUUGUCCGGAAUUACUGGGCGUAAAGGGGCGUGUAGGCGGGGGGACAAGUCAGAUGUGAGAUACCGCAGCUUAACUGCGGGGCUGCAUCUGAAACUGUUCUUCUUGAGUGUCGGAGAGGAAAGUGGAAUUCCCAGUGUAGGCGGGUGAAAUGCGUAGAGAUUGGGAGGAACACCAGUGGCGAAGGCGGCUUUCUGGACGACAACUGACGCUGAGGCGCGAAAGCGUGGGGAGCAAACAGGAUUAGAUACCCUGGUAGUCCACGCUGUAAACGAUGGAUACUAGUUGUAGGAGGUAUCGACCCCUUCUGUGCCGGAGGUUACACAAUAAGGUAUCCCGCCUGGGGAGUACGGCCGCAAGGGUGAAACUCAAAGGGAUUGGACGGGGGCCCGCACAAGCAGUGGAGCAUGUGGUUUUAUUCGAAGCAACGCGAAGAACCUUACCAGGGCUUGACAUCCCUCUGACCGGUGUAGCGAUACACCUUCCCUUCGGGGCAGGGGAGACAGGAUGGUGCAUGGUUGUCGUCAGCUCGUGUCGUGAGAUGUUGGGUUAAGUCCCGCAACGAGCGCAACCCUUGUCGUUAGUUGCCAGCACUUUGGGUGGGCACUCUAACGAGACUGCCGGCGACAAGUCGGAGGAAGGUGGGGAUGACGUCAAAUCAUCAUGCCCCUUAUGUCCUGGGCUACACACGUGCUACAAUGGCGACUACAGAGGGAAGCAAAGCCGCGAGGUGGAGCAAAUCCCCAAAAGUCGUCCCAGUUCGGAUUGCAGGCUGCAACUCGCCUGCAUGAAGUCGGAAUUGCUAGUAAUGGCAGGUCAGCACACUGCCGUGAAUACGUUCCCGGGCCUUGUACACACCGCCCGUCACACCAUGAGAGCUGACAACACCCGAAGUCGGUAGCCUAACCGCGAGGGGGGCGCCGCCGAAGGUGGGGUUGGUGAUUGGGGUG
This 1400-nucleotide ribosomal RNA is filed under the name uncultured bacterium. Its description in RNAcentral is "16S ribosomal RNA". It matches the Rfam family "Bacterial small subunit ribosomal RNA". The record is from RNAcentral.